This is a long non-coding RNA of Epinephelus fuscoguttatus (brown-marbled grouper), 1085 nucleotides long. RefSeq lists it as uncharacterized. The transcript has 3 exons. Lineage: Eukaryota; Metazoa; Chordata; Actinopteri; Perciformes; Serranidae. The record is from RefSeq and is a predicted model, not a curated record.
UUCCGGGUCGGAGGUCGUCUGGUCCGACAGGGCGACUGCCUGUGUGCUGCUCUGGCCCCCCCGUAUGCGCUGCUGCGUUUGUUGGCUGUGGUAAACGCUGGUGGCUGCAUGGAGCCCUCUCUCCCCCUCCCUCCUCUCGUGUGAGUGUGUGUGUGCCCGCGCUGCUGAAAAGGUAUGUUAUGUGUAUUGUAGCACGCACCGCAUCAUGUUCAGUGUAUUUAGCCAUGCUAAUAGCAUUUUUCUUGGUUAGGUGCUAACUGUAGCCAGCUUAUCGGGCCGCUGCUGCUUUGUCGCCGCUGCUGCUUUGUCUCCUGUUUUGUCUCCUGCUUGCCUCCAUCACGUCUGCCGUUUGUCUCUGCUGCUACUUGUCCUCACGGCACGGUGGCACGCUGCGGUACUGUAAGCCGCUGCGCAGCUCUGCUUCCGCCGUAGGCACUGGUGCUCUGUUUCACGUCCGGAGCAGGACGGUUGCUCGUCUGCCCGUUGCGGGCCGAGACAUUAUUUUUAACUGGGGUUUGGUCCCCCGUAUUUUGAGUGAAUGAGUGUGGGUUAUAUUCUAUUAGCUUGUUUAUUUUUAUAUUGUUUGGGUUGAACCUGAUUUUGUUUGUUUGUAUAAUUUAUUUGUUAAUUAGGUUAAUUUGAGAGAUUUUGUAUAUGUAAUUGGAUAAUUGUUUGGGGUUUGUUUUCUUUAUUUAGCAUUAAUUUCUUUUGCUUUGUCUAUAUUUGAGUAUUUCAAUUGGGCAGUUAUUAGUUGUUAUAUUGUUAAGUUUAAACUUGUGAUCUGCCCAUUAAUUACAAUUUGUUAAAUUUUGAUUUACUGAUUUUGUUUGUUUCAUUGCAACCCCACUAAUUUUAUCAUUCCCCUUUUCAGUUGCUGGAGGCCGGUGGUGGUGGCGCUGGUGUUUGGUGGUGGUAUCCAUCCUUCCGUCUUGUCCGCUGUGUUCCUGGGAGUGGGUUGCUUCACUGAGUGUGUCUGCCACGUGUGCCUGGUGAUUUAAGUUGGUUUCUCUUUUUUUUGGUGGAUCCUUCCCCUUCACUAGUCCUUGUCCACUCACUAGGCCUCAGCCCUGAUUAGGUUCUUUCCC